GUGCCAGCCACCGCGGUUAUACGAGAGGCCCAAGUUGACAAACACCGGCGUAAAGCGUGGUUAAGUAAAAACUCACACUAAAGCCAAACAUCUUCCAGGCUGUUAUACGCAACCGAAGACAGGAAGUUCAACCACGAAAGUGGCUUUAUCUAGUCUGAACCCACGAAAGCUAAGGAACAAACUGGGAU
This 188-nucleotide ribosomal RNA is filed under the name Myoxocephalus scorpius (shorthorn sculpin). RNAcentral describes it as "partial small subunit ribosomal RNA". Lineage: Eukaryota; Metazoa; Chordata; Actinopteri; Perciformes; Cottidae. The record is from RNAcentral.